UCCACGGGGAAUUACUGGCAACGUCUGC
This 28-nucleotide non-coding RNA is filed under the name Bombyx mori (domestic silkworm). Lineage: Eukaryota; Metazoa; Arthropoda; Insecta; Lepidoptera; Bombycidae. The record is from RNAcentral.